RNAcentral lists this long non-coding RNA (8243 nucleotides) under Podarcis lilfordi (Lilford's wall lizard). Lineage: Eukaryota; Metazoa; Chordata; Lepidosauria; Squamata; Lacertidae. The record is from RNAcentral.
AUAUUGAAAGGGAAUGCAAUUAAGCAACAGCUAAAUUGGUAUCUCUGCUCUUCUUGUGGUAUGAAUUUGCGGGUGAUGGUCAUGACACGAGGGAUUAAGCCAAGGGUCAACAGCUGCAUUAUCGGUACUGAAAGGCAACAAUGAAUCACAGACCUUUAAAGUUGGAAGGGAUCGUGGGGGUCAUCUAGUCCAAACCCCUUUUGCCCAACAAGGAGUUUGAACCCAUGAUGAGAUACUUAACAGUUGAAUGACACAGACAGAUUAAUUGUCGGGAUUUCAUUAGUCAUCGCUGUUCCCUGUCACCAACUUGUAACUUUCUGCAUCCGUCUUUAAAUUGUGUUUGGCAUCAGCCUCAAAGGCCAACAGAAUAGAGGGACUUCAGCAUGCAUCUUGGAGGUUUUGAAGAGACUUUCCUACUCACCUUUGCUUUAGACAACAGAACUAUGCAAGAUGGCGCUUAUCUUUCAGAUACAAAAAGACUUCCUGACAUGGCGCCAAUAGCGUUGAAAAGGGCUACUGAACAACUCUAACUUGAGCGUUCAUUAGACAGACCAGCCAAAGAAUCCAGCCUGGCUAUUGUAUAGAAGGUGUCUGUGAGGGAGAGGUGGUUUUGUACAGUACAUAACACAGUGGAAAUGAUGACAACAUCAAGUGCUAUGUAUGGAACGACAGAAAUGGACUAGGCAAAGCAUGGAUAGGUUAGGUCAGAUGUGGAUGGUUCAUGUCCAGUGAGUUAUUGCUAUGUUUUCAGGACAGCUUGUUAACCCAUUUUCAAUUUCUUAAAAAAGAAUUUGUGAUAAGAUAAAAAUCAUAUCUUCAUUCUCAAGUUGCUGUAAUGUUAAAGGAAGGCAAGAAAUGCUGGUGUUUGUUCGGCAAUGACUGCAUGCAUGGCUCCAACAAGUGAAGAUUCAGAAUGAAAUUAAUAUUCCAAGACAAGAUUUGGAAAGUGUAGUGGUUGUUUCAGCAAGCCCACACUGCAAGGGGAGACAGUGGAGGAAACUGUGACCAAGGUUCUCACUCCUAUGAAAUCCAUGUGCACCACUUUGUAAGUAUGCAUAGUAUUAUGGUCUUUAAAACUAUGGUUUGUCUUUUGUGUAUUGAACACAACAUUAUUUAGAAUAUGUCAGUACAGUGGAACCUCGGUUUUCAAACGUACAGUGGUACCUCAGGUUACAUACUCCUCAGGUUACAGACUCUGCUAACCCAGAAAUAGUGCUUCAGGUUAAGAACUUUGCUUCAGGAUAAGAACAGAAAUUGUGCUCUGGCAGUGCAGCAGCAGCAGGAGGCCCCAUUAGCUAAAGUGGUGCUUCAGGUUAAGAACAGUUUUAGGUUAAGUACGGACCUCCGGAACGAAUUAAGUACUUAACCUGAGGUACCACUGUAAUCCGUUCCAGAAGACUGUUUGACUUCUGAAACGUUUUAAAACUGAGGAGCAAUGGGCGGUUGGCAAAAUCCAUUGAGAGAAAAUAAAAACACACAGUAGAAGUCGUCUGACUUCCAAGGCACGUUCAAAAACGGAAGCAAUUACUUCCGGGUUUUCACUUCCGAAACGUUCGAAAACUGAGAUUCCACUGUAUUCCACUGUAUUCCCACAGCUUCCCCUAUAACUCACAACAACUAGCAAUCAUCUGUUUUGCUAUUUUGUAUUGUCGUGAGUUUGAGUAAGCAGACAUAGGAUUGCACAGUUUGAGUCAGGCUGUAUGAUGCCUCCGUCCCUUCUAAUUCCUGGAUCCGGGAAGGAUUAGAAUCUAAUGGAGCAUCUCAAUGUUGAAUUAGCCAGGCUCCGUGCCAGAGGGCAAAGGGGUGGACCUCAUCCCUUACCUGGCUGGAAGUAGGUCGGCUAGAAGCAGGCUGCAGGCAGAGAGGGAGAGCCACGCUUAAUUUCUGCUUGAAUCCAGCUGUUGAUAUGGGAGAAGCAACACCUUCUGGGGUGUUAAUGCUAUGAGUCCCUCCAUCCUGGGUUGUAGGUUUUUGUAAAUAAACCCUAUAACAUAAAGACACUACAGUCUCUGCUAUCCCUAACUCCAAGGAAACCGAAAGCUGGGUAAACAGCUGGAGUCUGGGGUGGCGUGCAACUGUAUUCAAGCACAGUAAAUUAAGUGUGCAGUGUUCUAUUAAGUACAGACCAUCUCAGCUUAGCUUGGAGGCUAUGCUCACACUCCCGAUUACUGGACACUCGAACAUUUCCAGUGUAUUUUUAUAAAAAAAUCCAUGUGGACAUUAUCCAAAAUGCAUAUGCAUCCCGUACUUCGUUAUAAGUUACUACUGUUUAGGGCAUUGUUUCUCAAAUGAGCUUCACACUGAUUGGAGCCUUCAAGUUAGUCUCUGAACCGCUUUUGCACAGGGGAAAAAGACACCCCCCAUCAUCAGUGACCCCUGUUGUGAGCCGAACCAGAAAUGACUUGGACACUAAUGAAGAUGUGGACAUGGGGGGGGGGGCCUUUGAAACAAACAACAACAACAACAGCUUCACUACACUCUAGGUGUUAUGUACUAAGCUUGGAUCCUAGAACAAUAGGCAGGUAGGAUCCUAGAAUGCCACAACUGAUUGGCUUGCAGGAAAAGACCAAUCAGGCUCCAGGAGGAAGUUAAUCAGCCUUUUAGGCUGGUAGGAUCGUAGAAUGCAACAACUGAUUGGCCUGCAGGAGAAGACUCCAGGCUCCAGGAGGGAAACAGAAUCAGCCAAUCAGACAGGACUCGUUGUGUAAAUAAUGUAUAUAAAGGCCUGAGGUUUGGAGGGGGGAAUCAAUCACUGUUUUACAAGCUGCAAUAAAAAGCAUGAAAUCACUACAGGACUCCGAGUAUAUUUCACUGGUGGUGAAGAUGGGAUCUUGCUGAACUGUCCGCUGUGCAUCGCACACAGCCGCCACAGGCAACACAACAUCGCACCGCGCAUCCAGGCUACAGCUCCAGGACCAAGGGAUGCAGAAUGGCAACAGACAACAGCUUCAUGCAGUUCAGCCCAGCCUCAGGAGACUGGGAAGGAUACACCACCCGCUUCCAGUUCCUCCUGGAGGCAAAGGACAUCACUGACGCAGCCAAGAAGAGGGGGACCUUCUUCAGCGUCUGUGGAGAAGAAACGUUUGAGAUUCACUAAGGCAGGAAUGUGAACAGACCCCUAGACUCCUCUACUGCCUCUCUUCUCUUUUGGAUGAGUAGGAACACUUUGCCAAGGCUGCAUUUAGAACCUUCAAGAGCUGUCAAGAACCCUGUUUAAUAGACCAGUUUACAUUCCCAACACCUGUGCGGUGUCUCCACUAACAACACCAUUUGUAUAUCAUUCUUUCCACAGCAACUUGCAUAAUCUCCAUUCUGAUCUCUAAAGUUGCUGCAGCUGAGAUCUGUGAGCUCCCGGCUGACGCAUUAUUCCAGUUCCCACUAUAAGAUAUCAUUUCCCUGAGUAAAGAACGCUAUGGAGAGAAAUCUACCUUUUUUCUCCCCCCAGCAGAAGUAAUUUCUGCAGGGAGUUUUGAAGCCAGAAUUGCAGGAGAUAAAUAGCAGAGGACACAAUAUCCUUCAGCACUGAGGAGGGUUUUGGCUAUGGAGAUGAUAUGAGAUACUUAUCGUAUAAGCAUGUGUGCACUAAUGAAUUUUCUGCUUUUGGUUGCUAGCUGGUUUUAAGUCUCCCUCCCCAAGCAAAAUUAAGCGGAUUUUAUACAUAUCCCUCAGAUAUCUUGUAUAUAAAUUAAUGGACUAUUUGUGCCAGACUGAAAACUUUAGAAAAAUCUACUUAUAUUAUUUGGAAGAGGCUAUAUAAUUACUUCAAAACUGCCUGUUGUUGUUGUUUUUUAAAAUCAUGAGAUCUCUAUAGUAGCUCUGAAGCUAUGCAAGAAUGAAAAGGUGGCUUUAAUGUGUAUUAAUGGAGCAAACAGCAAAUGUGGAGAAGAGCGGAUUCGUUUUUCUUAUUCCCUUGUAGGACAAGAAUGCUAAAUAAGAGGAUUCCAGCUGUGCAACAGGAAAGUUACAAUGGAUUGUGCAAGUCAUUAAUAUUGCAAUGAAAACUAAUUAAACCUAGAGCUCUGGAGAAGCACUCAUCGGAGAUUUGAAGAGAGGAAGUGCAAGAUUUGGGGGCCUUGGGCAAAGUGUAUUUCAUCCCUCAGAGCAGAACAGUAAACAGAGGGUACUGGAUUGCCUACUACGAUUGAAGAAAAGAAAAUGUAGGCAGUUAGGAAAACGUCUUCAAAUGGCAGAGUAUACCAUAGGACACAAUAGAAGAUGGCUGUUUCUCACUGCUUUUAUGGUUGCUUCCAGUAUUAUCAUUUUAAGGUAAGGGUGCUCUGCUGCCCAAGGCAAAACAGGAAGGUGCCUCCCCACCCAGGCCGAAGCCUCCCACCUGGGUUAUGUGGCAACACCUGCAAAGUGCAGUGGCAUAGCAUGGGGGGCACAGAGGCUGUUGUCCCAGGUGCAAAAUUGUUAGGGGGUGCAAAAUUUCAACACCCUAAUACAGCUGUGACAAACCUAGACAGCAUCUUAAAAAGCAGAGACAUCACCUUGCCAACAAAGGUCCGUAUAGUAAAAGCUAUGGUUUUCCCAGUAGUGCUGUAUGGAAGCGAGAGCUGGACCAUAAAAAAGGCUGAUCGCCGAAGAAUGGAUGCUUUUGAAUUACGGUGCUGGAGGAGACUCUUGAGAGUCCCAUGGACUGCAAGAAGAUCAAACCUAUCCAUUCUGAAGGAAAAUCAGCCCUGAGUGCUCACUGGAAGGACAGAUCGUGAAGCUGAGGCUCCAGUACUUUGGCCACCUCAUGAGAAGAGAAGACUCCCUGGAAAAGACCCUGAUGUUGGGAAAGAUUGAAGGCACAAGGAGAAGGGGACGACAGAGGAUGAGAUGGUUGGAUAGUGUUCUCGAAGCUACCAGUAUGAGUUUGACCAAACUGCGGGAGGCAGUGCAAGACAGGAGUGCCUGGCGUGCUCUGGUCCAUGGGGUCACGAAGAAUCGGACACAACUAAAAGACUAAACAACAACAACAACAACAACACCACUUUGUUGUUUCCAUCGUGGGGCUCUGUUGAAAAUGGCUUCUCCAUGCAAACCAGGAAGUGACCUCUCCAGACAAUGGAACAAAUCUUCUUAGCUCUAUGGGUGACGCGGAUGCUGUUAGGCAAUUGAAUACGCAUGCGUGCUGCAUCUGUUUCCCUCCCUCCACACGGCCCCGGGCACCGGCAAGCCACGCUAUGCCACUGGUGAAGUGGCAGCAUUGUUGGUGCAUUUCAGCAAUAUCUCGUGGAAAUCUCAGGAGGUUUUGGAGAGGUCUUGCAAGAUCUGGCUGGAGGCUACUGGUGCUGCUUCUCCACCAGCAGUGGAAAUGGCAGGGCACCUGUGGAACACAACUUCUUGGGCUUCUGCUGCCUCAGCCCACCUCAUUGGCAAGCCAGCCCUGGGCUGUCCCUCUUACACAAGUCAGCCUUCUUGGGCGAACCAUGCCCAUGUCUCCCAUGCCUGCCAUCACACGAUGGAGGAAAGUUCAUGCCUCACAUAGACUGGCUACAUACAGAUGCCUGCCCACUUGUGUGCAACCAGUAUGUGUUCUCCCACUGACACAUGCACCAUUUUUGGUACCAAAAGGGGGCAGGCAGGUGCAGAACAGGGGAAUCCCCACUCACAUAUAUCCAGAUAACGUGUGCAGUGGCCGGGAACGGAACCCCUGCGGGGUUUCCCUUGUACAUGCUCCCUUGUACAUCUCCCCAGCAGAGAAGGUCCUAUGGCUUCUCAGUGAUGUAAACACUUCAGUGACUCAUAAAGUCACCCUUCUUGCUUUUGCUUUGGCGGCCAAAAUGACCAGAAAGAAGACCCUGGACAAUAUACCAGUGAACUGUAAAGGAGACACAGAGAUCUAAACAGCGACCAUUAUUUGUGGUGUGACACCCCUUUUGCUUGUAUUUAUUUUUGAUUCAGAUUUGUCAUGGCCAAUGGCUAGUACAAUGAAUUUAUUUGGAUUGGAUUAGAUUAGAUUGUACAUGUUCCAGUCAUGACAAAGAGGUAAAAUUUCUAGAUACCCUAAAUGGCCGUGCCCUAGAAUGGUUAGUGAUUGAACUGACCAGAGGGGCAGCAACCCUGGACCUAAUCUUCAGUGGUGCCCAGGACCUGGUGUGAGAUGUAAGUGUUUUCAGGCUAACUGGGAACAGUGACCAUAGUGCUAUUAAACUAGUGUGACAUUUAAAUCGACCAUUGCCAAGGAAAAUGCAAUUCCCCCCCAAAGAGGAUUGGUAAAAAGGAAGUUGGAAGGCAAAGCCAAGAGGGUCAAAUCACUCCCAAAUACUUGGGAGCUGUUUAAAAACACAGUAUUACUAGUUCAACUGGAGUGUAUACAGCAGAUCAAGAAAGAUACCACAAAGACCAAGAGUAUGGUUAAAAAGCAGAGACAAAAAUGCUAUCAGAGAAAAGAAGAUGUCCUUCAAAAAAUGGAAGUCUUGCCCAAAUAAAGAGAAUCAGAAGGAACACAAACUUUGGCAAAAGAAGUACGAACAGAAAGUAAGAGAUGCUAAGAAAACAACAACAACAACAACAACAACAACAACAACAACAGGGAGGAGCACAUUGCUAAAAAUAUUAAGACCAACAGCAAAAAGUUCCUUAAAUACAUUACUAGACCGUCUAGGGAGGCUGUUGGAUGACAAGGGAGUAAAAGGUGUGCUAAAAGAGGAUAAGGAGAUUGCAGAGAAGCUGGAUGAAUUAUCUGCAUCUGUCUUCAUGUCUGAAGAUUUAUGGCCGAUCCCAGUGCCUGAACUUUGCAGGAAGGGAGUAUGAGGCAAAUAGUGGCGAUGAGAGAUGAAGCUGUAUGCCUAAUAGAUAAAAUAAAAACUGACACUUUGCUAGGUCCCGAUGGCAUCCACUCAAGAGUUCUCAAAUAACUCAAAUGUGAUGUUCUUACAAAAAUAUGUAACUUGCCCCUCAGAUCAGCCUCCAUACCUGAGGACUGGAAAGCAGCCAAUGUAACACCUUUUUUUAGGAGGGAUCCUGGAAAUUACAGGGCAAUUAGCUUAACACCUGUCCUGGAAAUACUGGUGGGAAGCAUGGUUAAAGAUAAAAUAUCCAAACAUAGAGAAGAACAAGCCUUGGUGAAGCAAAACCAGCAUGCUUCUGCAAGGCAACUCCUGCCUCACUUACCUAUUAAGAGUUUUUUGAGAGCGUCUGCAAUAACCAGAGGUGAUUCAGUUGACACAAUGUACUUGGACUUGCAAAAAGCUUUUGACAAGGUACCUUGCUAGAGACAACUGAGUAAGCUUAGCAGUCAUGGAAUAAGAGUAGAGGUUCUUUUGUGGGUUAGGAAUGGGUUCAGUAGCAGGAAGCAGACAGUAGGAACAUAUGGACAGUUCUCCAAAUGUUGAGGUGUAGAAAGUGAAAUCCACGAAGGAACAGUAUUGGAACUCAGAGCCUUUGCAGGGGUGGGGGGACCAGUUAAGAUGGGCCACCCAAGGAGGCUGAUGGUCUCAGCAACUCUUCCUAGGAGGUCUUUCCCUGAUGACACAGUUGCGAGGACUGAAUGUCCCUGCCUUCCCUCCCCUCUCUAAGACUCCUCCUCGCCUGGUUUAGCCCAUGACAUUACUCUUCACCUUGAGAGGAAAUGAGUCACCAACCUCUGUCACCUCUCUCUCUCUCUCUCCAUAUGAACUUCAGGAACUCUGAGCAUGACUUUAGCAUGGAGUCUGAAAUGAGUGUUUUCCUCUACCAAUACUUUGGAAACUUUUGCCAUCUGGAGCUAAGCAACGUUUCAACUGCCUGUGCAUCUUUUCUGGCUGUUGUAUGGAAAGGCACAUGAAUCUGACCUUUGAACAGUUUUACAAGUAAACCAUUUCAUGACUUGACAAACGUGUGGUCUACGUAUCUCUGUGCUAGGAACGUGGGAUGACUUGGAAAUAUAUUUUUAAAGGCGAUAUUUGGGGGAGUCACUGGACAUGCACCUUUAAAAGAUUUCCCAGUCUAGAUUUCCACACUUUUCUUUGCUGCGUGUUUUGCGAUGUUAAAUAUCUCCUGGGGUUCUCUCACCAAAAAGUCCUUGCCCCAAACCUGGGUCUUGGCCUUCAGGAUUCCAGUACUUGGCCCCUUAUAUCCCAGCACCAAGGGACGCAAAUGGUCUGUGUUAAGUUGUGGGUGAACAUAUCAGACGACACAGCGGAUCUUCAAACAGAUCUUGUUUAUUCACAGGCCAGGACAGAACCGAACUGAAGGGUUCAGUCAGCCUGCUUAUAUAGAGCUCCAGUACAACGUUACUGUAACAACUUUCUAAAACUAUCCAAUCACUGAAC